UGUGUAGGCGGCGCGGUAAGUCGGGUGUGAAAUCUCGGAGCUUAACUCCGAAACUGCAUUCGAUACUGCCGUGCUUGAGGACUGGAGAGGAGACUGGAAUUUACGGUGUAGCGGUGAAAUGCGUAGAUAUCGUAAGGAAGACCAGUGGCGAAGGCGGGUCUCUGGACAGUUCCUGACGCUGAGACACGAAGGCCAGGGAGCAAACG
This 206-nucleotide ribosomal RNA is filed under the name uncultured bacterium. Its description in RNAcentral is "partial 16S ribosomal RNA". It matches the Rfam family "Bacterial small subunit ribosomal RNA", at positions 568 to 774 of the family's 1533-position model. The record is from RNAcentral.